RNAcentral lists this transfer RNA (67 nucleotides) under Thermobia domestica (firebrat). RNAcentral's name for it is "tRNA-Trp". The record is from RNAcentral. Lineage: Eukaryota; Metazoa; Arthropoda; Insecta; Zygentoma; Lepismatidae.
AAGACUUUAAGUUAAAAAAACUAAUGGCCUUCAAAGCUAUAAAUAAAAGGCGAUCUUUUAGGUCUUA